CCUGCCCAGUGAGUUACGACUUCAACGGCCGCGGUACCCUGACCGUGCAAAGGUAGCAUAAUCCCAUGCCUUUUAAUUGAAGGCUAGUAUGAAUGGAUCCACGAGCGAUCUAUUGUCUCAUAGCUACAAAAAUAAAUUAGCCUUCUUGUGAAGAGACUAGAAUUAAAGUAAAAGACAAGAAGACCCUGUUGAGUUUCACUUAACUUAUCUAAAAAUAAUAGCAACAAUUAUAUUAUUUAUAGCUAAAUAAGUUUGAUUGGGGCAAUCGAUGACUAACCUCACCGUCAUUAUAAAAAAAGAACCUUUUCGCCAAAUUAUCCAAGUAACAAAUGAAUAAGAAAUAAUAUUACCACAGGGAUAACAGACCAAUCUCCUUAACGAGCCCGAAUCAUAAAGGAGGAGUGGCACCUCGAUGUUGGCUUAGGGAAACCUUUUGGUGCAGCCGCUAAAAAGGUUGGUUUGUUCAACCAUUAAACCCCUACGUGAUCUGAG
RNAcentral lists this ribosomal RNA (492 nucleotides) under Oxydromus sp. C ZW-2021. Its description in RNAcentral is "partial large subunit ribosomal RNA". It matches the Rfam family "Bacterial large subunit ribosomal RNA", at positions 1858 to 2609 of the family's 2925-position model. The record is from RNAcentral. Lineage: Eukaryota; Metazoa; Annelida; Polychaeta; Phyllodocida; Hesionidae.